UACGUAGGGUGCGAGCGUUGUCCGGAAUUAUUGGGCGUAAAGGGCUCGUAGGCGGUUUGUCGCGUCGGAAGUGAAAACACGGGGCUUAACUCUGUGCUUGCUUUCGAUACGGGCAGACUAGAGGGAUGCAGGGGAGAACGGAAUUCCUGGUGUAGCGGUGAAAUGCGCAGAUAUCAGGAGGAACACCAGUGGCGAAGGCGACUUUCUGGCCUGUUCUUGACGCUGAGGCGCGAAAGCUAGGGGAGCAAACGGG
This 253-nucleotide ribosomal RNA is filed under the name uncultured bacterium. Its description in RNAcentral is "partial 16S ribosomal RNA". It matches the Rfam family "Bacterial small subunit ribosomal RNA", at positions 524 to 776 of the family's 1533-position model. The record is from RNAcentral.